This 204-nucleotide ribosomal RNA is filed under the name uncultured bacterium. RNAcentral describes it as "partial 16S ribosomal RNA". It matches the Rfam family "Bacterial small subunit ribosomal RNA", at positions 568 to 771 of the family's 1533-position model. The record is from RNAcentral.
CUCGUAGGCGGUUUGAUAAGUCCUGUGUGAAAUCCCUUGGCUUAACCAAGGAACUGCGCCGGAUACUGUCGAACUAGAGGCCGGGAGAGGGAAGCGGAAUUCCGAGUGUAGCGGUGAAAUGCGUAGAUAUUCGGAGGAACACCGGUGGCGAAGGCGGCUUCCUGGACCGGUUCUGACGCUCAAGAGCGAAAGCUAGGGUAGAAC